GUGCUUCCGAAAGGUUGCGCAUCUAUUAAAAUUGGAACGAUACAGAGAAGAUUAGCAUGGCCCCUGACGCAAGGAUGACACGCACAAUCGUGAAGCGUUCCAAAUUUUU
Small nuclear RNA from Exaiptasia diaphana, 109 nucleotides. The record is from RefSeq and is a predicted model, not a curated record. NCBI's taxonomy places the organism in Eukaryota, Metazoa, Cnidaria, Anthozoa, Actiniaria, Aiptasiidae.